GGGCCCGCACAAGCGGUGGAGUAUGUGGUUUAAUUCGAUGCAACGCGAAGAACCUUACCAGGGUUUGACAUCCUGCGAAUCUCUUGGAAACGAGAGAGUGCCUUCGGGAACGCAGUGACAGGUGGUGCAUGGCUGUCGUCAGCUCGUGUCGUGAGAUGUUGGGUUAAGUCCCGCAACGAGCGCAACCCACGUCGUUAGUUGCCAGCAUUUAGUUGGGCACUCUAGCGAGACCGCCGGUGAUAAACCGGAGGAAGGUGUGGAUGACGUCAAGUCAUCAUGCCCCUUACAUCCUGGGCUACACACGUACUACAAUGCUACGGACAAAGGGCAGCAAACUCGCGAGAGCUAG
RNAcentral lists this ribosomal RNA (349 nucleotides) under uncultured bacterium. RNAcentral's name for it is "bacterial SSU rRNA". It matches the Rfam family "Bacterial small subunit ribosomal RNA", at positions 917 to 1267 of the family's 1533-position model. The record is from RNAcentral.